AAUUUGCCUUUAUUUUAAGAGAAGAGCCAAAAAUACCCUUAAUGAAAUUAAUUAUUAAAAUAAUUAAUCUGAAUGCCCAACGCCCUAUCCCUAUCCCCCGCCACCACUCGCCUCUCUUGUCUUUCCCAACCCACAAAUGCUUAUGUCCAAGUAUUUUUGCUCCAAGGAUUUGCAAUGGGUUAUCCACGAACACUGGGUAAUGUAGAAGGUGUCAACGGCUUGGGUUCUUCUCAUAGAGGAUUCACUGCUUUGCUGAGGGCGAUGGACUUUUCAAUUUAGUUGUUGCGUUGCUAAGGGUGAUGGGUUAUUCUGGUGAGGACAAUGACAAGGUCGAACACUUUUCAGUUUCACGGUGGUUUAGAUGGUUCAGAUAUGAUUGCCUUCACCCG
RNAcentral lists this unclassified non-coding RNA (389 nucleotides) under Hevea brasiliensis (rubber tree). The record is from RNAcentral. Lineage: Eukaryota; Viridiplantae; Streptophyta; Magnoliopsida; Malpighiales; Euphorbiaceae.